This is a long non-coding RNA of Felis catus (domestic cat), 1112 nucleotides long. RefSeq lists it as uncharacterized. The transcript is spliced from 3 exons. The record is from RefSeq and is a predicted model, not a curated record. NCBI's taxonomy places the organism in Eukaryota, Metazoa, Chordata, Mammalia, Carnivora, Felidae.
CUGCAGAGCCUGACAGUGGUGCUCGAUCUUAGGACUGUGAGAUCAUGACCUGAACUGAAAUUAAGAGUUGGAUGCUCAACCGACUGAGGCGCCCUGGGGCCCCUAUCAUUUGACUUAAAAAAUUUGCUAUAAUGAGGUUGUGUAUACUUCAGGUCUAGCUUGUUCCUCUUCUGACUUUUCAUCACCACUAAUCUUAAUUUUAUUUCUUUUCCCAUUCCCGUACAUAAGGAUCCCAUUAAACAGAUAACUGGAAGAUAAUAGGAGGAGAUGAUAAAGUGGUUACUUUCAAUACCGCUUGACCACUUAAGAGUAUUUAACCAGUAACUGCAUGGAAAGCUUCAAGGAGCUUUUUAGAAACAAGAUGCCACCUGCUCAGAGAGCUCUCUUUGACCACAUUGCCCUGUAUUUACUUAGUGACACGGAGGCAUCUGAAGAAGUCCUCAAAGAAGGAACAGCCAAGUCAAAGGACAUACUAUUUUUGCAGCUCUGAAAACCUGUUCGCAAACCGAUUUCUCAGAAGGUAUUGCCAGGUUAUGUUGCUACCUGCCACCAAGAAAACUUACAUACCUUCAUCUUUCUCUUCUGGAGCCAGAUCCGCGACAAUAUCAUCGACGUUAUCAGGUACGAUAUUGCAUUGUUCCCCCUGCAAAAGGAAGUUUUCUUGGAGGGCUCCCAUCAAACAGUGGCACGUGUUGGGGUCAGACGAGGGAGGAGGUAAAAUCGGAUGCCCACCCUGCGUGCAAAUCCCAGGCCACGGUGGAGUUCCGAGCCAACAUUUACAAUCACACUGAAAGAGAAAUGGCAAGAAAGCCACAGCUUCCCAGUCCCUGACCCAUGGCAGACGUCAGUAAUCAGUUAUGGAACUCACUAGGAUACCUAUCUGUCUGGACCAAAUCAUUCAGUGGAGCGCAGAACCCCACUGUAAUGUUGAUUUUGCUCAUUUAGAUCUUACGAAUAAUUUGCAUGCUUAGAAACCUCAGGCGGUCCAGGAGUCCUGUGUUUUGGAAUACGCCAGGGACCCCAUGAUUCCUGAGCAGAUAGGGGUACGGUCGGCUCGCGCUCCUGGUGGGAAGGGUCUGUGGCAGGGUGAGCUCUAGCCCCAGUACCUUCCG